Molecule: long non-coding RNA, 12593 nt
Organism: Dromaius novaehollandiae (emu)
Lineage: Eukaryota; Metazoa; Chordata; Aves; Casuariiformes; Dromaiidae
Exons: 9
Source: RefSeq, a predicted model, not a curated record
ACCGCGCCUGCGCGCGCCGCCCACCCCUACCCGCGCGCGCGGCGCGUGCGCGCGCCCGGCCCCCGCUCCCAGGGCACGAGGUGGCCGGGAGCGAGGGCUGGGGCUUCUCUGUCCCCUCCGUACCGGGGCGGGUGGAGCCGGGAGGGCAGCGGGGAGCGGUGCCCCCCCCCCCGAGACACACACACACACACCGGCCCCGAAAAAGGGCAGCGUAGCGCCCCGGCAAAAGCGGGACAAGGCAAAGCUGUCUGUCCCAGCAUCACUCGGCGUUCCGGGUAACAUAAGCACACCUGCGUUUCCUCUUAACAGACUUUCCUCUGUUAAGGCCUACAGAUAAAUCUGACUUCAUCCCCAGAACAGUUAUCAUAAGAACAGCACCAUUAUACAGAGGCAUAGAUUUUCCCUUGUCUCACUUGACUUCAGCCUGCGUCUGGAAAAAAAAUCUUUUCCUCUGACUUUGCAUGGUUGAAAGUCUUCAUCAACAGUGUCACUGGAGAUGAAAAACCAGGAAAGGAAAUACAGUCAUGAAUUUGGACAUAAUGUGGCUGGAUCUAAUUUCAUGUACAUCGUGUAGCUAGACCUACUCUCAUGGACAUCAAAUCUGUGUAGAGCUUUCCAGUAGUUUUGGAAGAUGACUACUCAUAUGGUGUCAUAAAAACUGUAUACACCUGCUGAAGUAAGAGAUGGAAGAGAGUAAAAGGAGAAAGGAAAGGACAAAAAGACCAUGAAGGAAAACACCGCAGUAGCCACGAUGCUGGUAGAGAAAUGACUUAAAGCAGCAAAAUGGAGCCUGGUAGCCAAGAAGACCAGACAAGGAGGCAGUUAGUGGAGAUGCUGAGCAGUUUUUCAGAAAGCCACUCAGGAUGAGAAGAUACAGGAAAAAAAAGGCACUGCUCUGUCUGUUGGCAUGAUGUUUUGAUGAAAGAAAAAAAAAACGAGAGAAAGCAACUUUUUUUUAACAAAGUUUGUAUUAGAAUUGUAUAGCUGCAACAAAAUGCAGAGCACUGAACAGUAUGAUACAAGUCUAAGUGAAACUUAAGGAGCAAACUGGUACACUGAAAGUGGCAUCAGUAUUAAAUUCUUCUUCCCUUUAAUGAACUGGGUUUCAGGUAUUGCUUCAAGGGAUGCUACUGAAAACAUUCCUUAGGCUAUCAAACAGCCAUGAGAUAAAAAUGAGUUCUUGCAGCUAACAUGAGGAUAUUCUUCUCAACAGACAAGGUAUAAUGCUGAGGGAUGGGUGUGCACCCACACGCCUUAACAGUUUUCAGAGUAACAGCCCUCUCCUUCUUUAGCUUUCUUCAUUUUGUAUUUGUUCCUUAAAAUAAUCAUGAGGAUAUUAAGAAAAAAACAGUGAAAUAAUAAAUUGGUGGAUCCAACUGUCUAUUGAAAAGAGAGUUAGAGAUGACUAAUUUCAGGAAAUCAAACAAUUUACUUAUUUGUCAAUGUCUGAUUUUGGAGCUUAAAUUCAGUAACCUAGUCAAAAAAAUGGCCAUCAGUCAUUUAGUUCCCCUUCUGAAUGUUAUUUUCUUCUCUUUCUCUCAUGGUAAGUUCACAGAGUAAAAGCUGAUUGUGAGAAAACAUUAAAAUGGAAAACAUUUUGACUAAUAAUGUGAUUUCCAAUGAUUUCCAAUCUUCUGAAAUAAUUUUAACCCUUAAGCUUUUUUCCAGAUCCAUGAUAUAGUCCUCCAGAAUUGCAAUGUUUGUAAAUGUUUACAGUUUAAGGUGUUCCACAGGGAGGUACAAACAAGUACAGCCAUGCUCUGCAGCCACCCAAGCUACUCAUGCUAUGUGGCUCAUGUACUUGGGAAAUGCAGAUGUAGCCUUUAGACCUUCUAGAGAUCAUUAUGCUGUGAUCAAAGUGAUAACGUUACUGAUGCAUUCCUGUAACAUUUUAGUAGUAAGUAGUGUCUUCUGCCUAAAAAGCGUGUAAUUCCACUGUGAAAAUCCAAGUCUUCUCUUUUAGAAAAUACUUGCUUAAGGGAUUCAAUAGGACCAACUGAUCAUUGUGAGCAGCGAUUAGUCUUUUUAAAGAUACAGCCACCUUACAAAGUAAGAAUUCUUUCCUAAAUAAAACCUAUUGACCUUCAUUUUACAGCAGCUUUUCUGGUAAAAAGAGACAGAAUUUUGAUCUGAAAGUGAAAAAAAUUGUGAAAACCAACACAGUCCUUUAUUUAAGCUAUAUGUCAGUAUAAUUUAUUGCAUAGUAGCAGGCAUAUUGUUACUGCUUAGUGAAAAGUACCCAAAGGCACCAUAGGAGGAAUCUCUUGUUGCAAAGUGUAAUGGUUUGAAGCAUUUCAUUGGAAUAGUCCCUCCCACCCCCACGUUUUAAUAUGUCUUGCUUAGAAUUGAAGUAAAAAUGCGAAUAUCUGUUGCUGCGUUCAAGGCCUACUACAUGUCCUUACAGUAUCACAAAUGAAAUAUGCCAUUACUUUUAGUGAAAAUAGUUCAUGUCGAGGGCUAAAGCCACUUGUGUGUUAAAUCAGUAAUAAUUUAAAAAUCACUUGUGAUGAGGGGAGAAAAAUAUGCAUUACUAAGGGAAUAUAUGUAGAGCCAUAUGUCAUUUUUAUGGACAUGCCUAUACCCUCCUGUGAACUUUCAAAAUUUCAUUGUUUCAGGUAAUAACCAAAACAUUUCAAUCAAGCAAGUACCUAUUUGUAUGGGGGAACUGCCACCAAUCAUUCUUUGUGGAAGAUGUUGUUCUUAGCAAAUCUCUACUUCUUCCAACAUGAAGUCAUUUUCUUAAUAUUGCUUGAGUGGAUAGAUAAGUCAAAGAAAUUGCAAAGCAAGUUCCUUAAUUUUGCAAGAGAUAUCCUCUUGGUACUAGAUAAAUUUAUGGUGACUUUGAAACAAUGUAUUCUUUUACAGCUUUAAAUAGAAAUACAUCCCAAGCACUAUGGAAAUUGAGAGCAAAGAGGGAGAAAGUUUAGUUUAAGGUCUAAUUAAUUCAAUAUAAGAUUAACUCAGAAUUUUAUACUAUAAUCAAAUUUAUAUCUUGUACAAGGUCAGCAUGUGGCAGAAAACAGAGUUGGAGGAAAUUAUAACAAUGACAUCCUGGUUGCUGACCUAGGGACAAUUUGUAAUUGCAAAUAUUAAGCACUGUCUGCUUUUGUUGAAACACAUGUGCUUUGGAUUUAUUAGUAUUAUAUAUGUUUAAGUUUAUUCCAGCUAGUAGUUGUAGAGACUGAUGGUGAAAGAUCAGCAGGAAGUUCAAGUACAGAAGCUCAAGCUUAUCAAACAGCUUGUGCAAGAUCUACUCUGUCUGGGAGCUGACUACAAGGGUGGUUUGGAAUGAAGACAUCAGUCUUUAUGUAGUGGACACAAAAAUAACAGCUGUGAUACUAAAUAGGAGGCCUGUAAGAAGCUGAUGUGAAUGAUCAGGGGUGACACAUGGAUAAUCCACAGAAAGUAAACACAUUAGAGUGCUGAGACUGAAAGGUAUGAAGAAUUGGGUUGAAGGAGAUGGAAAGUAAAGGAGAAGGGGAGAAAAGCAAAAAAAAUUAAUAAAAAGUAGGGUUAUGAUCUGAAACUCAAUUCAAACCCCUUAUGCACUAUGUGGUAUUUCAUAUGCCGGCACAAAUUUAAUAUAGUUAGCUGGAUCCCAUAAGAACAUUCUGAAAGAAUCUGUUUCUAAAUUUAAUUUGCUUUGCCGAUUGGUACAAAUGUUUGAGGAAAAAUAAGCGUGUGGAAUAUUAAUGGGAAAAAUCCAUGUAUAUAUGAGAGUUCAUUUUGAACAUAUUUUCAAGUCAGGGAAAGGAAAUACUGAUGUAGGAUGAUCUGACUAAAUUACCACAGUGCAACGCAGCUUAAACUGCAGAUAUUGGCUUAGAUAGUUUUUCACCGACUACAUUUAAUUUAUAAUACAUUUUAGGCAAUCAUUAUCUACAAACACAAAGAAAUGAAAAAUGGACAUACUAAUGGAGCAAAUGAUUUGCUGCAAAUUACCCAUUCCAGAUCAGAUUUUCAAAGGCUCACACAUGUCUAACACCCACGAAAGGCCAAAUUUUUCUAUUUUUAAAAUUAUUAUUAUUAUUGUUGUUGUUGUUAUAGUCAAAUGGUUAAUUCAGUUUGGUAAAACAUGGAAAAGUGGCUAGGAGAGUCCUUCUAAGUCUGUGAAAUCAUCUAGAAAACUCUUAUGAAAAAUUCUUCUUCUGCCUUAUGACCUGGGCACAUCAAGUGCUUUUUUUAGUGAAUACUAUUUAGUUUUAAAGAAAGGAAAAGUUUUUUUUUAAACUUGAGUUCAGUUCUUGAUACAAGAUGCUAAAUCUUUAUGAAGGUCAUAAGAAAGCAGUGGAUUAGCACAGACUGAGUAGUUAAUAUAACCUUCUUGUGUCACUUGGGGAGUACGCGUAGUUAACAGUGGGCACAAAUUGCUGCAUAAUUCAAACUGUCAAUUUUCAGAUCUGAAGCUAUGAAUUCUGUUGUCUGAAGAAGUUGUAUGUUCUAGAUUUUUAUUAUCUCUGUGGAGAUUUCUACCUGGAACCUUUUUGAAGGUCUCAGGAAAAAAAAAAAAAAAAAGAUUUUUCUGUCCUCCCCUUUUUGUCACUCUGCAUUUUGCUGAUACUGAGAUGAAGUCACUUCAUCAAUAAGGCCUUUCAGAGAAAGGAGGUUAUAGCUGCUGUUUAUUUACUCUGAGGACUGGCCAAGUUAUCAUCUAACAAAGAUUAUUGCAUCUUUGUACAUCUGUGUUUAUACCCCUAAUAGCAUAGCUGCGUACUAUGCAAGGAAAUUGCAAGUAAAAUGGAAUUUUCAAGUUAUAUAAAUUCCCAUAUAUAUGUAAAUAUUCAUAACCUCACUUCGUGCUGCUACAACAAAUUGCAGUCAUUGAGAAAGCAUUUUUUUUGGUGGGGAUGGAAGUGUUGAUUUUUAAAUAUGUGGGCAGAAAGAGCUGACUUUAUCCAAUUUACAAAGCUCUCUUUAGGACAGAUUAACAAUUGAAAUCUAAAGUCAAUAUAGAUAACUCUGAGUCUUUCUGGAAACAUUUGAAUUCAGAUUCCCUUGCAGAAUGCAAAAAAAUUAGUAUAUUCUGUCUAGCUCUUUAUGGAAGAGGUGGAAACAAUGUGGUUUAUGCUGUUAGAUUGAGUGUUAUAAUUCAGCUGUGAAGUAGGACUUAUUUUCAGUUAUGUGAACACAGUAACACUAACCGAGGUUACGAAUCCACACAUGAUGAAAAGUACUCCUAUGUACUGAUUUAUCAAAGCAAUCUGCAAGAUGUAUGCACAUAUCUGCUAAUUUUUUAAAACUGGGAUGUGAACGUUUUAUCUUCUGUACACAGCUUUGAAAUGCAUUCCUUCCUUCUCCCUUUUGCUGUUUUUGAAACCUCUAUCAGUCUGUAACAUGUGCUUACAUCAUUAAAAGUUACUGAUCAAGAAAUUUGCACUGAAGAUUCCUGGCUUGUGAACAUUUAUACAUCGAACAGAAUCCUUAGAGCCAUGUGGUAGUGAUUCUGGAAGCACAUUUUUAGGGGAAAAGCAAAAACUUGAAAGUUGUAUAUACAUGAGUACAGCUUGUCUUGGUGAUUUUAAAAGCAAAGAAAAAUGGCAAUUUAUUUAUGCUUAAUUUUCAAAGAUUUAUACUUCAGUUCAUGAGAUGUCUAUGAUGACAGACAUCUUAAUGCUCAGGUUUGCUUCCAGCGAUGAUAUUUUUUGUUGCCAGAUCUGUCCUCCCUCCAUCCACCUUGGUAACAUAUACUAAGCUUGCUUAUACUGUGUUUCUUGGAACAUACAAGCUAGCUAUGGUGUAUUUUUUGUACCAUGUUGAAUGGAGCAAUUUUAAUACUAGCCUGUAGCCAUCUUCCAGCUUUCUAGUGACCCUAAGGUUGGAAAUGAUUACAGAGCAGCCUCCUAUGUGGUCUUGAGGGUAAAAGUCAAAGUUGCUGACUAAACUAAAGUUUAGCUCUAUUAAGUGUUGCAUAAACUGGACAGGCAUAUUGCCAUGUUUAUGGCUCGGUUGCUCAUGCUUCAGAACAGAUUGUUGGAGGUUGCUUUGGGAAUUUCUGUGUUCACAGUGUUCGGAUUUGGAACAAUACAUAGCUGGUGCGUCUGUCAUGACGCAUUCUACCACCUACUGUCUUGCUCCUACUGCACAAAUGGUAUUCCAGGAGAAGAACACCUAGUGUAUAGGCAUCAGAUGGCAGUAGUAAUUCCCAGACUUUCAUUUGAGGAGGCAGAUGAUCUUGGACUUACAUACGGAAUUAGCAUGGCUGCUCUUGCAUCAGAAUAGUGAAUAAGAUUUGGAAACUGUCAAAUGUAGUCUGGUUCUGGUUCAUAGCUAGCCAUUUUGCUGUGGGCAUUUCAUUUGUUAGGACGAUUGUGGUGGAGGCUUGGGGUGCACUUCAAUGUUUAUCGGCAGACUGUGGUAAUUGGAAACAUGCCUGAAAUAAUAACUUUUUUCCAAAGAAUGGGUGUCCAGAUAGCUUUAAGGCAUGUACGAAGGCAACAGAAGGUCACAGAAUGGUAAAUUAUAAUCUUUAAAUUAAAAAUAGUUUGUAAGUUUGAAUGGCCAGCAAUUUUACAUCAGUGUUGUGUGGGAUUGAGGGGUUAGAGACUAUACAUUACCAACCAAAACUCCAUAUCCAUCUUUCAGGUUAUAUAACUUAUUUCAGAAAAAAAAGCUAUUUAGGAAAUUCUUGAAUGGAAAAGUGUUUUCAAGCAAUUGAAAGUGUCUUCUCAAAGUGUAAACUUGGGGAUUACACAAAGUAAUGCUCUCACUUAGUUUCUGCCCUAAACUAAAGUUGAUUUUACCUCACAGAAGCAAAAGUUCUCUCAGCUUCACACUCACUAAUAUCCUUUGAGAAACCCCUUUACCCUGGAUACUUUUGUAGUGGUAAUGAUAACGGGUUGCCCUUUCUUUCCUAGGCUUCAGCUCCAAGGCAUUUGCCAUUACUGCUGACCAUUUUGCUUAUUCUAGUUAGUUGAAAACAUUGUUUUUGAGCUUUUGUGUCAGUUCGCAUUCACAUAGGAAAACAUGGAAUGGGAUAUCUGCAUCCCACUGCAGAUAUUGUCCAUAUUAUAGGCAGAUGAGUUAUUCUCACUGUUGGAGAAAGCUAUGGUCAUGGAUGAAGACCUGUGAUCCUCUUUGCUCCUGUAUGAGUCAGGGACAGACAUACACACAUACAUUAUGUAUAGAUAUGAUAAAGAUUACAGAUUAGGAUCACUAUUCUAAAUGACUUGUUUCAUUUCCUUCCAUGUGACACAUGCUAAAGAACCCUAACACUAGUGCAAAUCCUGAAGUUACAUCCUGGAAGCAUACACUGUCUCUGUGAUAGGGAAAAUGUGGCCUUCUACUUUACUGGAGUUUGUAAGGGCACAAUAUAUAUGCUUAAGAGGGCACUCUACUGGCUAUUUUUUGUAAUUUUCUUGUGCCUUCUGCCUGGUAAGUCAAACCACAUCUGGUUGGUGGACUGGAGCCUCUAGGUACGUCUGGCAACCUGGCUUUGCAACCAGAGGGAAAAAGAGGAGAACCACCAUUGCAUUAUUUGGCUGUUAUGUGCCAGAGAUGCUGCUGGGGGCACAUAUAUUAGCUGAGGGGAAAAGAGGCAGGAGGUACUUUCCCUCAUCUUCUCAGUAAUUUCAAAGGCGGUCCUGUGGUUUCUGUGUGCGCUUAAAAUGUGUCUAUCUUUUAUUUUGUGAGUACUUUAAAUCCAUUUUUUAUGGUCUUGACUUUGAUUUGUGUAGAAAUCUUUUGAGUCCUGCCUUGAUAGAUCAGAGCUUUUAAUCUAAGUCUAGAUUUUAUUUGGAAAAAUCUAGAGGAUCCAAGGAGAAUAUGCUCCUUUUCCCACUAAGUAUGCUCACUCACCUUUUACAACAGCUCAGACCUUGUAGAGUAGAAAUUAUGACAAAUCUGUGCAUAGUGCAAGCUGGUGAUGAUCCAUUUUGAGGGUUUUUAAAGACCUUACUUCCAGAAAUGUAAUCUUUUUCUAUUUAAAAAUCUAAACCUUUUCUGUAAAAAUCAUGUUACUGAUGAUUUGGAAUAUGGAGUCAAUUCUUUUUUGUUGUGCUUCCCAAAUAUCUCUCAUCAUCUCUCCGAUCCACUUUUACCAAAGCACAUUCUGCUCUCUUAGCAUAUAUUUUAUUUCCAGAACCCAUGCAAGGGGAAGCUGGGGGCAGUGCUGAGUUAUGCUGAGAAGAUAAAUCUGUGAGAAUCUUGACAAAUUUGCAGUAGCUGCAAGGUAGAAAUCACUACCGAGAUUAAAUUUGUGUUUGGAGACAGGAUAGAGAUUGAACCAAAAUGCAAAAAAUUAACUGAAUGACUAGAUUAACUAAUUACCAUAAUUAUCUUGCAGUCUCAUGAUUACAAUGAUGGUUGCUGAAAGGUAGUUAGAAAUCAUAGGGUUCAGAGUGGGAUCUCAUAGGAUCUCCCUUUGAAAUUCCUGCUAUGCCUGUGAGAUAUCUGAUACUGACUUCCAUUGGUAGUAUAAAUUGAAUGUCCUAAUAUGUACAUUUCCAUUUUCUACUAAAAUAAAUUUGGACAUGCAGUGAGCCACUCUGAUUACUAGCUAGUGCCAAGCAAAAUGAAUGUUAUAGUGUGAGCAGCUAUGUUUUCUUGGAUGUUUUUUCUUCUUUUCAUUUACAUAUAAGUGAUGAAUUGUUCCAAAAUAGUAACAGCAAGACUUGGAUUUUUUUUUUUUUUUUGUGGUAAUAGAUCUGUUCAAUACAUCUUCAGUAAAAUCCACUUUCAAAAAGCUUCUCAUUUCUUUUCCAUCGCUUCCCUGUGAAGGGAUUGCAUUUAAUGCCAUAGGCUGGGCCAUCUGUACAGUAUGAUUAUGAAAUGAUGAAUGUCUUUCGCUGUGUGAGCUUCUACUUGACAAAUAGUGUACAGUCAUUAAUUCGCCCCAGCUCCUUUACCAGUCAUCCAAAUUUAGCAAGGACAGUACUCACUAUUGUCAUAUCUUUCUGCAGAGCAUACAGAUCAGUCUGGAUUGGAGCAGGUUAAUGACUAGCUCAAACUCUGUAAUAUCCUAAUUUUACAGCAGAAAUAUGACCUAACAGAAACAGCCAGUAAUUCACUUUCCCUGACUGCAGAGGACUUGGUCUUCCAGAUCCAUAUAAACUUAAUCCCAUCUUUACCAUUAAACACUGAGCUCUACCUUAUCUCCAAUGAAGUCAGUGAAACAGUGUUCAGGGCUUGGAGUAUAAGCUCUUUGCUGAACUGGAGCCUUUGGUUUGACCUUAUAAAAGGAUUCAGACCCUUAUAUUUACACAAGGCUUUCUUCAGUCUUUCAUAUCUCAAGGUUUAGACUAUUUUUUCUAAAUGCUGUUUAUUCAGGGGUUUUUUUAUAGUCUUUGGUAGGAGUUGAGUAUAUUGUUUUUAAGAGGAACUGGAGAACUGAUUCUCAUUUUGGUUGAGUGUCUGGAAUGAAAGCUCCGCAAGCAUAGGCUGCCUUCAAGAUAAACAUUAUGUUUCGGCUUUUGCCUGAAAAGCAACACCAUUUGAAUGCCUUUUCAGCUGUUGUCCUCAAUUGUAGUUCCAGCAUGAAGAGGAAAUGCGGUGAUAUGAAAAGAACUGAAAAGGUACUAAAAACAUUAGUAUUUUAGAAUUCUAAGUUCUAAUAUUUUGUUUGAGUGUGGGACAAAUAUUUACAAAGGGCAUUGUUGUAAAUAAUCAUUGUUGAUGUGUUUCCUGCAGAUGAGACAAAGAUUCAUGGGAGCAUUCUUUUUUCUCUAAUUCCUUUUUGAGUGAUCUUCUAUUAAAAUAUUAUCUUUCUGCUGAAAUCUGUACAAGUCUCACAUUAAACUAAAUUAAUGUCACUACACAUCAUAAAAACAAAAUUAUACAAAAGAAAAGGUAAUAAUCCGUGACUAAGGACAAAUGUGGGGCAUUUAUAUAUGCAUCACAAACAACUGACAAUGUCAAUCUCCAAUACACAAUGUUAAGAAAUCCUGACCCAGAGUCAUCUCUAGUGUCUAAUUACUCUGCACACAGCUCUUGUUUUUAUCUUCUCUGCUAAAUAAGUUCCUGCAUGGGCAGCCAGAGGAAGUGGUGAACCACCCCCACGGAAGACUUUAUAUUUGGUUUUAAGAAUAGUUUUUUACAAGCUUGCUGUGGUUUCUUAAGCAUCUACUGCUAAUAUUUUACCUUUUCUUUUCAAGUGGAAAAAAAAUCCUAAAAGUGGCAAAAAAUUAGAGUUGUUGCUAGUAUCCAAAUUAUGCAUUAGGUUUGAUAGCGUUUCUGUUAUCAGAAAAAGGAAGUGAUUUAGGCAAUUCUUUGAUAUACUCCAAGUUGCUGAUGUGAUAUUGCUAUACAAAAAUUAGUAAAAAAUCCUCUGUGUUUCCUGUUGAAGUGUAUUUCUAGGUGAAAGGUUCUAUGCUACUGCAUUGUGGAAGUGUGCAUUGUAUUGUGUCAUGACCUUUCCUGGUGUAUAAUCUCCAAGGCUUUCAUUACUGAACAUUUAAUUUAACUUGAGAGACAAACCUACUCUCCAACCUCAGUUCUUACUAAUACAUUGGGAAAACAGUAUCAGCAUGUAACAGCAUGGGAUGCUUAUCUUCUUAAUUCAGAAGGGUUGUUGCUUGACAAGAGAACCGUGUUGGUAAAUCUUGAUCCCUCACUACUACUCUUUCUGUACUCUGCAUAGUUUGUAGGUUCAGGCUGAUGGAAACUAUUCAUAAAUUUGGAUCAAAUUUCCUCAGUAGCUUUGGUCACAGUGUACAUUUCCUUUGUUCAGAAUUCCCCUAAACCUCAAACCACAGAGUGAUUUAAUUUUAGUCACAACUAGAAGGAACAACCUUGAGACUUAAAGAGGUGUUGAAAUCAAUGAGUGUCACUUGUCUAGGCUAGACGCAUUGCUUUCCUGUAUGAUGAGACAAUUCUUUUUUUGAAGACCCAAUCAUAAUCCCACACUUGCUGAAAACAAUGUCUCUGAGCUGGAAUCACAUGAAAAUAGACAAAUACUUAUCAAUAGCUAGUAUAUUAAUAACCAAUUUAUUUAAAGAUACUUUUACUAAUAGGAAAAUCUAAAAAAUGCCUUGUGUAUAUCUUAGGCUAGGAACUCUCUGCUUACAGAACAAGUAAGAUACAGUCAGCUUGGAAGGGUCUUACAGCAUCCUUCUCCCACAAGCUCAGGCUUAUUCCAGAGGUCUGAUUCCAUCUGGUUUUACUUUUUUAUAUGACCCCAUCUCUAAAGCUAAUCAGGAGAAAUCAUAAAGAUUUUAUUGCAAUGUUUUACUUUUUUUCUUCACUAACUUUCAAAUUGUCAAUGAAACUUUUCAAAAUGUGAGCAAAUUUUCAUGGUGUAUAUUUCAAAUUUUGAAGCAUUUUACCUAGCUCUGUGGGUCUGAUACUGGCAGUUGUGCAUGCAGGACUGGUUGGGUUGAUGGUAGGUCUACAUGGUAUAUGGAGGGUAACUACAUCAGAGCUUGUGUUCAGAGUCUUAUUAAGACUCAACUUCCCAAUCUCUGUCCUUAGGUUAAUGAAAAAACUAUCAAUCACAGUUACUUUCUCUGCUAUGUGUGUAGGCAUUCCCUUUUGCUACGCAUUGCUUGACAAUUCCCUUAUGUUUUGCAUUCCUUUGCAACAACACAAAAAAUUUCCUUCUUGCUGGAAAUAGAGUCCUGCCUCUGCUUCACUUCUUGGUCUUUGUCCUACUGGUGAAAAUAGGCAAUACAUUCAGUGCCCUCAGUUCUCUGAAUACACUGUGCAGUGAAUAGCAGUGUCCUGAUUCACUCACCUAAAAAAUGUUUUCUGUUUAAAAGUUUCUCUAAUAUUUGGUUAUUUUCCUGCUUGAUUGAUUUGUUCUAAUAUGGUGUAGUAGGCACUACUACAUAAAUUGUAGUUAGUGCCCAUGUAGUCUUUCUGUAUAUUUUGUUUUUAUUUUCAUUCACCAGUCUGGUGUGCAACUGUGUAUAAAGGCAGCAUAUAUUUAUUUUGUUAACACCACCUUUUAAUUUUUUUAUUAUUCAAAAUUUAUCAGAGAAAGAUUGCUACAUUAAGUAUUUACUCUGUCAAAAAUUACAUGUCCUCUAAUUUUGUGAGUCCCAAAUCCAGGUUGCCGUAACUUCACCCAUGCAGGAACUACCUCACUAGAACCAGAGUCACAGUCUCACAGUCUCACUGUCACAGAGCCAUGGUCUUCAGGAAAUUAACCUCCUUAUAAUGUCUGCACAUGAACAUUAGUAUCUUAAAUUAAUUUUUAAAUUGAGUUUCCUUCAGCUUCUGGAAAUCAUUUAAUUUCAGCUAUCUCUGCUUUUACCAUUGCAUGCCAGACUGUACUGAAACAAAAAAAAGAGAAACCAAACUUUAUCAAAUUUACUCUGUUGAUUUGAAUGUGCUCCAUUUAACAAAUUCAAUUACUGAAGUCAAAAAAUUGUAAUCUUUAUUGUUUUUAUUUUUCAGUCUUCCUCCCUGGUUUUAAGUAAAUCUCACAUAUGGUGGGAAUUCUAUUUAUUAUGUACAGUGUCACACCUGGAAAAAAAUUGUGUAAAUAUGAAACACAAGCUUCCUUUUUAUGUAUCAAGUUAUUCAUUCUGAUGCUAAGCCACAAAAAUGAAAUUUAAAAAAUUUAGGAGCAUGUAUGUUAAUUUUGGUAUUGUUUUGUAUACUUUCAGGGAACAAGAUUUUAACAAAAAGGAAUAUUUUUAUUAAAAAUACCUCUCAAA